Pelobates cultripes (western spadefoot toad) is the source of this 237-nucleotide non-coding RNA. NCBI's taxonomy places the organism in Eukaryota, Metazoa, Chordata, Amphibia, Anura, Pelobatidae. The record is from the annotation of a GenBank genome assembly.
CUCGAAUCACAGAGAAGCACAGCAGCCACAACCUGAUGGGACUCUGAUGGCUAACGAGGCCACAUCUAAUUCUCCACGGGUCUCCAGGCCCAAGGACUAGCCCCAAAGGCUUAUGUGGAGGAACUCUAAGCGCACAACAGUUUAAUGUGCACAAGUUACCUGUUCCCUUAUAUUUUGGUUUAUAUGUUCUUAUUCUUAUUUUAGACACAUUAUAUUAGGCUGCAGAGAGACCAAAAC